AUGGCUUGGACCAUGUUCAAGUUGUACAGGGAAAGGAAAGAAAUGUAACAUUACUCACAUCCUGUGUUUUAAAAUAAAAUCAUAUUGCUAACCACUUUAUGACUGUGAUUCAAAGCAGGGCUACCUUCCUUCCCACCCCUGUAGAGACCAUGGUGAAGUGGAUUUUUAACUCCUCCUUUGCCACGCACCACACGCAUCACCUCCAAGAGAGCUGAGUACAGUGUUAAGACAGUUACACUAUGCUUCGGAGCUGUGUUCACUGCUGCUUCUUUUGGCCCAUGAACAGUUUGUUAGAUCAGGUGAGCUGAAUCCUGCAUGGAAGACGGUCAAUGAAAAACCAGUGCGUAGACUGCCAUCUACUGGACAACCAGAAAACAAACUGCUGAGUCGCCCUAGGACCUUGAGCAACAAAGGCAAAAAGGCAAAAUUAUGAAUACAUCAGUGGAACAGACAGGAGCAUGUAGGCACAACAAUGGUCCAGUUUGAAAUGAUUAUUUGCAAAAGAGUGUACAUUUCUACUUUCAAUGUUUGUACAGAGUCACUGGAGUUAUGACAAUAAAAUGAUUUUCAAAUUGUGAUUCCUUGAUACACCCAGGGAGCAGAGACGACUCAGAACUUCUAGUGACAUAUCAAAAACAGAUAUGAGGAAUGUUCCCUUCCCCAGAAUAAGAACAGAACGGUAUUCUCUUUAAUCACCAUGUUAUGAAGGUGUACAUGCUAAGCCUGGGGACCAUUCUGCCCAGUAAAGAGAACUUAGUACUCUCUAAGGACUUAGGCUCAGUCACACACUGGAUUACUAAUAAACACCCGUCUUU
RNAcentral lists this long non-coding RNA (815 nucleotides) under Cricetulus griseus (Chinese hamster). Its description in RNAcentral is "lncRNA (ENSCGRG00015036211.1)". Lineage: Eukaryota; Metazoa; Chordata; Mammalia; Rodentia; Cricetidae. The record is from RNAcentral.